Molecule: ribosomal RNA, 462 nt
Filed under: uncultured bacterium
Lineage: Bacteria
Description: partial 16S ribosomal RNA
Rfam family: Bacterial small subunit ribosomal RNA
Source: RNAcentral
GAUGAACGCUGACAGAAUGCUUAACACAUGCAAGUCGAUGGGGAAGUGGUGCUUGCACCAUGGCAACCAUGGCGGACGGGUGAGUAACGCGUAAGGGACUUACCUGCAGGACUGGGAUAACAGGGGGAAACUCCUGACAAGACCGGAUAAUGUCAUGGAGCUGCAUGGCUUUAUGAUGAAAGGAGACGCCUGCGGAGAGCCUUGCGUCCUAUUAGCUAGUUGGUGAGGUAAUGGCUCACCAAGGCGAAGAUAGGUAGCCGGCCUGAGAGGGUGGACGGCCACAGGGGGACUGAGAUACGGCCCUUACUCCUAGGGGGGGCAGCGGGGGGGAAUAUUGGACAAUGGGGGCAACCCUGAACCAGCAAUUCUGUGGGCAAGAAGAAGGUUUUGGGAUUGUAAAGUGCUUUCAGCAGGGAAGAAGUAAGGGACGGGACCGGAAGAAGAAGCAACGGCAAAAAACGU